UACAGAGGUCCCGAGCGUUGUUCGGAUUCAUUGGGCGUAAAGGGUGCGUAGGCGGCGGAGUAAGUCUGAUGUGAAAUCCCGGGGCUCAACCCCGGAACUGCAUUGGAUACUGCUUUGCUAGAGUACUGGAGAGGGAACUGGAAUUUACGGUGUAGCAGUGAAAUGCGUAGAGAUCGUAAGGAACACCAAUUGCGAAGGCAGCUCGCUGGGACGUUACUGACGCUGAGACGCGAAAGCGUGGGGAGCAAACAGG
This 253-nucleotide ribosomal RNA is filed under the name uncultured bacterium. RNAcentral describes it as "partial 16S ribosomal RNA". It matches the Rfam family "Bacterial small subunit ribosomal RNA", at positions 524 to 776 of the family's 1533-position model. The record is from RNAcentral.